ACACUAUCAUUAACUGAAUCCAUAGGUUAAUGAGGCGAACCGGGGGAACUGAAACAUCUAAGUACCCCGAGGAAAAGAAAUCAACCGAGAUUCCCCCAGUAGCGGCGAGCGAACGGGGAGGAGCCCAGAGCCUGAAUCAGCAUGUGUGUUAGUGGAAGCGUCUGGAAAGGCGCGCGAUACAGGGUGACAGCCCCGUACACAAAAGCGCAUGUGCUGUGAGCUCGAUGAGUAGGGCGGGACACGUGGUAUCCUGUCUGAAUAUGGGGGGACCAUCCUCCAAGGCUAAAUACUCCUGACUGACCGAUAGUGAACCAGUACCGUGAGGGAAAGGCGAAAAGAACCCCGGCGAGGGGAGUGAAAAAGAACCUGAAACCGUGUACGUACAAGCAGUGGGAGCACAGGUUUACCUGUGUGACUGCGUACCUUUUGUAUAAUGGGUCAGCGACUUAUAUUCUGUAGCAAGGUUAACCGUAUAGGGGAGCCGUAGGGAAACCGAGUCUUAAUUGGGCGUUAAGUUGCAGGGUAUAGACCCGAAACCCGGUGAUCUAGCCAUGGGCAGGUUGAAGGUUGGGUAACACUAACUGGAGGACCGAACCGACUAAUGUUGAAAAAUUAGCGGAUGACCUGUGGCUGGGGGUGAAAGGCCAAUCAAACCGGGAGAUAGCUGGUUCUCCCCGAAAGCUAUUUAGGUAGCGCCUCGUGAAUUCAUCUCCGGGGGUAGAGCACUGUUUCGGCUAGGGGGCCAUCCCGGCUUACCAACCCGAUGCAAACUGCGAAUACCGGAGAAUGUUAUCACGGGAGACACACGGCGGGUGCUAACGUCCGUCGUGAAGAGGGAAACAACCCAGACCGCCAGCUAAGGUCCCAAAGUCAUGGUUAAGUGGGAAACGAUGUGGGAAGGCCCAGACAGCCAGGAUGUUGGCUUAGAAGCAGCCAUCAUUUAAAGAAAGCGUAAUAGCUCACUGGUCGAGUCGGCCUGCGCGGAAGAUGUAACGGGGCUAAACCAU
RNAcentral lists this ribosomal RNA (1007 nucleotides) under Salmonella enterica subsp. enterica serovar Saintpaul. Its description in RNAcentral is "partial 23S ribosomal RNA". It matches the Rfam family "Bacterial large subunit ribosomal RNA", at positions 145 to 1190 of the family's 2925-position model. Lineage: Bacteria; Pseudomonadati; Pseudomonadota; Gammaproteobacteria; Enterobacterales; Enterobacteriaceae. The record is from RNAcentral.